GCUAAAAAAAAUCUGUGACGGAGGCUGUGAAAAAUCAGUUUGGGAGUCUCUGCUCUGAUGGGCUAACUUCGUCGCUUUGGAACGAUAGAGCAAAACAAAACAGAAGAAAAUUCGCUUUUGCUUCUUCAGUCUUCGUCCUUCAGUUUUUGAUCACGAACGCGCGUGCGAAUGUUAUCGCGUUUUUCCCGGAUAUAGUCGAAGAUUAUAUUAUUUGUGAAAAAAAAGUUGAAGUAUUUGUGCAAUCAGUGUUUGAAAGCUACAUCUCAGGCAAAAGGUGUCAUCUAGACCAGAUUCUGCUUAAGGUGGAAAGCAACUGGUUGGAUAUUGAUAUGCUUUUUAAUUGGAGAUCACGCAGUAAGUAU
Molecule: long non-coding RNA, 362 nt
Organism: Aedes aegypti (yellow fever mosquito)
Lineage: Eukaryota; Metazoa; Arthropoda; Insecta; Diptera; Culicidae
Exons: 3
Source: RefSeq, a predicted model, not a curated record